GCUCAAUGAUUUUUUAAAUUGCUGUGGUAUUUUGACUAUACAAAGGUAUUGAAAUAAGAUUUUAAUUGAAUGCUAAGAGAAUGGAAUUACAGAAAAUAGCUUUUUUUAAAUUAAAAAUUGAAAUUUUUUUAAUUUGUGCAGAAACAAUUAUUAAUAUUAAGGACAAGAAGACCCUAUUGAAUUUAUAAAUUUAUAUUAUAGUAAUUAAUAUAAAAUAAAUUUUGGUUGGGGUGACAAAAAAAAAUAAAAAACUUUUUUUUUAUAAAAUGAUCCAUUAUUAAUGAUUAUAUGAAAAAUACUCUAGGGAUAACAGCGUUAUAUUUUUUGAUAGCUCAUAUUGACAAAAAAGUUUGCGACCUCGAUGUUGGUUAGGAUGCUUUUUUAAUGAAGAUAUUAAAAAAAGAAGUUUGUUCAACUUUUAAUUUCCUACUUGAUCUGAGUUCAGACCGG
Molecule: ribosomal RNA, 450 nt
Filed under: Rhipicephalus haemaphysaloides
Lineage: Eukaryota; Metazoa; Arthropoda; Arachnida; Ixodida; Ixodidae
Description: partial 16S ribosomal RNA
Rfam family: Bacterial large subunit ribosomal RNA (bases 306-450)
Source: RNAcentral